CCUACGGGUGGCUGCAGUGGGGAAUAUUGGACAAUGGGGGGAACCCUGAUCCAGCCAUGCCGCGUGUGUGAAGAAGGCCCUCGGGUUGUAAAGCACUUUCAGUGAGGAAGAACGCCUGGUGGUUAAUACCCAUCAGGAAAGACAUCACUCACAGAAGAAGCACCGGCUAACUCCGUGCCAGCAGCCGCGGUAAUACGGAGGGUGCGAGCGUUGAUCGGAAUUACUGGGCGUAAAGCGCGCGUAGGUGGCUUGAUAAGCCGGUUGUGAAAGCCCCGGGCUCAACCUGGGAACGGCAUCCGGAACUGUCAAGCUAGAGUGCAGGAGAGGAAGGUAGAAUUCCCGGUGUAGCGGUGAAAUGCGUAGAGAUCGGGAGGAAUACCAGUGGCGAAGGCGGCCUUCUGGACUGACACUGACACUGAGGUGCGAAAGCGUGGGUAGCAAACAGGAUUAGAUACCCCAGUAGUC
RNAcentral lists this ribosomal RNA (465 nucleotides) under Vreelandella stevensii. Its description in RNAcentral is "partial 16S ribosomal RNA". It matches the Rfam family "Bacterial small subunit ribosomal RNA", at positions 338 to 795 of the family's 1533-position model. Lineage: Bacteria; Pseudomonadati; Pseudomonadota; Gammaproteobacteria; Oceanospirillales; Halomonadaceae. The record is from RNAcentral.